GAGACUGUCAUUAUGCAUAAUGUACUUUGUAAUAUUCAUGUUAUACCAGUGCAGUGGUAUGUGUUUAUAUGACUAACUACUGCACCGAUGUUAGCAUACUGUUCAUUUGCACGUGAGCUAGCUAAUUGCUCACAAUGAGGGAAUGUUAUUUGGAUUUGUCUACUUGAGCAGUAAGCCUAGGUUUAUAUGUACAGUAAUGUAAUCGAUUUUAUUGUUGAUUUUCUGUGUUUCUUGAUGUGUUUGGCUGGCUCUAAAUGUGCGAGCGAGCCUACACAGCCUACCCAUAGUAUAUACAAUAAUGAAAUCACCAGGUUCCAACAUACACGGCAAGUCAAGAAAAGUCAUUGUAACUUGUCCACACUGCAAACUGAAGUUAAAUAAGAAAAACUUAAACACAUUUACGAAGAAAGCAUACACAUUGCUUUGAAACAGUGUCCAAUGAAAUAUUUUUGGCAUGUGAGUACAUUGAUGUGCGAAACGGUGUGUUUGCAGUCAAAAAUACAUUUUCUGGUCCAGCAAAAUUCAUACAUGUUGUGAAAAAUACUAAUUCAGUUCCAACUGUGUUCAAAAAAAGUAUUAACUAUUAUCAUUAGUUGUAGUUGGGACCCCCAUCCGAUUGGCCGAUUUUCUUCUUCAAAGGAAAACAUGCAGCAAAUCGAUGGUGGUGCCUAGUUCUCCUGCAGAACUUUCCCAUGCCGUCAGUAUUGAACAUUAUAAAAACGUUUAAUUUGCAUCCUUAAAAUCACUUGUUUCACUGUAGACAGACUGUCCUGAAUAUAUUUUAAUAUUGAAUGCAUGUCAUUCCCUCACUAAGGUCUGAAGAAGAGAGGUUGAAUGAUUGAAAAAGGAGGUGAAAACAAAACACACUAUACAUGAUGAUGUAGAAGACGCCACAUCAGCAUCCAGCUCAUUCUUGUACACACAUCCUUAGAGGUUCCCUAACAUUACUUAAGGACCACAAUAUGUUUUCUUUCUAGACGAUACUGAAAACUAAAUGCACAGCGAACUGGGAGUUGUGAACUGGGAAAAGGGACACCCUAGAGGCAUCAUUAAAACAUUUAAAGGCACUGUUUCCCUCCCUAGUGUCAUUGGGAUGGACGGGGAAGACCUCAUUACAACCCUUAAAGAACUACGGUUGUAUGAUGGCCAGGAUGAAGAGGAACAUAUUAUCCUCAAGGAACCAUUCAUGUUACAGAGAGAUUAUGAGAUGUUUUCUGUGGAGGCAGUUGAUAUUCUGUGGAGGCAGUUGAUGUUCUAUGUGGAGGCAGUUGACGUUCUAUGUGGAGGCAGUUGAUGUUCUAUGUGGAGGCAGUUGACAACAAGAAAAUGACUGUCUUUGCCUCUUGAGGAGCAGGAGUGAAGCCAUUUGAGGAGUGGUCAAAGAUUGUUUUUGUCUGCUGUGUUAAUUGUUUCAAUUGUUAAUUGUGUUAUGUUUAGUGAAGUAGAAGUCACCCUGAGUCUCUGAUCUCUGUACUGGAGCUGGCAUAACUUAAUGUACAAAGCACAUUCAGCAUGUCUAUAAGGUAUAGUGUCUCCAUUCUCAUGAGGAAAGUAAAUAGCAUUAUAAAUCAGGAAAGGUAGUAACUGUGUGUAUAUAUGCUCAAUGAAAUAAUAUAAUUAAAGUUAUAACAUUUAUCAACACAA
This is a long non-coding RNA of Oncorhynchus nerka (sockeye salmon), 1644 nucleotides long. RefSeq lists it as uncharacterized. The record is from RefSeq and is a predicted model, not a curated record. The transcript has 3 exons. Lineage: Eukaryota; Metazoa; Chordata; Actinopteri; Salmoniformes; Salmonidae.